GGAGAGAUGACCGAGUGGCCGAAGGUGCCUGAUUCGAAAUCAGGUGUGCGGGUGACCGUACCGUGGGUUCGACUCCCACUCUCUCCG
Molecule: transfer RNA, 87 nt
Filed under: Polyangiaceae bacterium
Lineage: Bacteria; Pseudomonadati; Myxococcota; Polyangiales; Polyangiaceae
Description: tRNA-Ser
Rfam family: tRNA
About the family: Transfer RNA (tRNA) molecules are approximately 80 nucleotides in length. Their secondary structure includes four short double-helical elements and three loops (D, anti-codon, and T loops).
Source: RNAcentral